This 465-nucleotide ribosomal RNA is filed under the name uncultured bacterium. RNAcentral's name for it is "partial 16S ribosomal RNA". It matches the Rfam family "Bacterial small subunit ribosomal RNA", at positions 28 to 507 of the family's 1533-position model. The record is from RNAcentral.
GACGAACGCUGGCGGCGUGCUUAACACAUGCAAGUCGAACGGAAAGGCCCUGCUUGCAGGGUACUCGAGUGGCGAACGGGUGAGUAACACGUGGGUGAUCUGCCCUGCACUUCGGGAUAAGCUUGGGAAACUGGGUCUAAUACCGGAUAGGAGCCAUCUUUAGUGUGGUGGUUGGAAAGUUUUUUCGGUGUAGGAUGAGCUCGCGGCCUAUCAGCUUGUUGGUGGGGUAAUGGCCUACCAAGGCGGCGACGGGUAGCCGGCCUGAGAGGGUGUACGGCCACAUUGGGACUGAGAUACGGCCCAGACUCCUACGGGAGGCAGAAGUGGGGAAUAUUGAACAAGGAGCGCAAGCCUGAUGCAGAGACGCCGCGUGGGCGAUGAAGGCCUUCGGGUUGUAAACGCCUUUCGCUAGGGACGAAGCUUUUUGUGACGGUACCUAGAUAAGAAGCACCGGCUAACUACGUG